Molecule: unclassified non-coding RNA, 187 nt
Filed under: uncultured Atheliaceae
Lineage: Eukaryota; Fungi; Basidiomycota; Agaricomycetes; Atheliales; Atheliaceae
Description: sequence contains ITS2
Source: RNAcentral
AAUCCCCAACCCCUCAGGGGGCUUGGACUUUUGAGCGUGCUGGCGGUGAUCGUCGGCUCCCCUUUAAAUGCAUCAGCGGAACCCUCGUUCCCCGUUUCGGCGUGAUAGAUUUGUGUUGCGCCGCGUAGGGGGGUGGUCAAGUGGUUUUUCCGCUUCCAAUCGUCCUCGGACAAAAGAUCGUUGACAA